GGUGGUUAUGAAGAUAAAAUGCAAUAAAUGUGUGUGAGGGCAACUGACGAGCCAGGAAGCCUUGGCAUCCAGAGUUAUUACUGGGACGUCAUGGGAAAUGAGGAUAUGGGAACAGAGUAUUUAUGCAUUUAUUCAAACUCAUCUCUAACAACCGUGCUUUGAAGGCUGGCUGCAUCCCAGGCCCUACAGGUGAACCGUGACUCUCAGCUCUCAGCUUCAGCCCCUGCUGUAGUGGCGGCAGCAGCAGAGGCUCACGUAGCCUCAAGCAGUAGGGGUUUUGUUUAAGGAUUCGGGUGCCCCAUGGUUUGGGGGUUUUGUUUUUAUUUUGCUGCAUGAUUUGGAUUCAAGAAGAAGGAUCUGUAGGACAGUGGGCUCCCGGGUCUGCCUUUGCCCUCAUAGCCUGCAGCAGAGCAGGACGUUCGCUUUCCCUUCUCCGCCUGUGUGUUCUUCCUGCACUGCCUAACUGCUGCUUGCUCAUUUGUGCUUCCGUGUCACCCCUCCUCAGCCCUCUGAACUCUGCACGUCAGGACUUGGCACACUUCCUAACUGCUGCUUACUCAUUUGUACUUCCGCGUCACCCCUCCUCAGCCCUCUGAACUCUGCGCUUGGACUUGGUGUGACUUCCCUUCCCCGCCUAUUCUCUAGAGGCAGUCUCUUGGUGACUCCUGGUUUGGGUCAGGGCACGCCUUAGGUCUCUGGAUGGCUACCAACCCCAGGUUCCCUCAGCUCUAGCCCCAUAAGAGAGGAGGCCUCAGGAGCGCCUAGGGCAGCCCUUUCAGCCUGGGCUGUGGGAAGGGAAGGUGGACAGAGAGGAGACCCCAUGCCUUUGUUCCCUGUUGAUGCAGAAGCAUUCUAGGCUCUGUCCCUUAUUCCUGCUGUGGGCUGAAGCUUCAGGCAAGUUAGCCUGGCCUCCAGAGCUCUUGGACUGCAGCACCCAUAAUGAUGGCCAAAGCCGCCCCCACGGCGACUCCUCCUGCUGAAGCAAAGUCAGGCAGAACAAUAAGAUGAGCAUGGUGGUGCAGGCCUGUAAUCUCAGCUCCUCAGGCGGGAGGAUCACUUGAUCCCCGGAAGUUUGAAGCUGGACUGCGCUGACCGCACCUGUGAAUACCACUGCCCGUCAAUCAGCCUAGGGGAAACAUUCUCGAGUGCGAGCAUGACGGCUUAGGUUGAUGUUUUUCAAAUUUUCCCAAUGAUGAGUAUUGUAAGGGACCAAAAUAAAAAAAUGCCAAUGCCUAGUCCCCUCUCAUCUAGAAUAAUUCCAUAGGUGAUGAUGGGGUCCAGGACUCUGAAUUUCGUCAAUUUUACCAAAUACUUCGUCCAGUGAGGCAAAUAUGGAAACACUUGGAUCACCUCUUCGUGAACGCACAUCAGCGCAUACGCCGGCUGUUUUUAUCAGGCGCUCACCCCUCAUCCAAUGGCGUGACUAGUUGUGGGUGGAGCCCGAAAUCUGGCUGCCUAGAGAAGGCUGAAGGUCCAGUUAUAGCAUAACUAAUGUUUCCCCAGAGCUCACAUACGUGCCAAGCACCGUGCUACAGCCUCCACAGCCCCUUCAUUUAAUCUUCCCGAUGGGCCUAUGAAAUAGGUGCUCCUGGCCCGCACCGUGGCUCAUGCCUCUAAUCCCAGCACUUUGGGAAGCUGAGGAGGGAGGGUCGCUUGAGUCCAGGAUUUCAAGACCAGCCUGGGAAACACACAGAGAGCCUAUCUCUACGAAAAUUUAAAAAAUUAGCCGGGUGUGGUGAUGCCUGACUGUGGUCCCACCUACUUAGUAGGCUAAGGUGGGAGGAUCCUCUGAGCCCGGGAAGCUGAGGCUGCAGUUAGCACUGCACUCCAGCAUGGGCGACAGAGUGAGACCCUGACUCAAAAAAAAAAAAAAAAAAGAAUAGGUGCUACUUGUAGUUCCCAUUUUACCCACCAAGAAACUGAAGAUCUGAGAGACAAAGCCUACAGGGUGACCGCUAGUCACUGGUAGGGCUGGGAUUUGAACAGGGGCGGUUUAACAACUGAUCUCUCGACCAUAAUGCGUGUUGCCCAAGAAAAAAGACCGUCCUCACGGUCCUAUCCACUCCGGACUUUGCAAUUCCGUUAUUUCGUAAAUUGAGGCCUAUAAAUAGUUUGCUUACCCGUUGUCUUAGUCCCCAGUAACAUGCAGAACUAAAGAAGAAACUGAAGGAGCACCGAUUUUGUUCACCUUGCUUUUUGGUUUAGUUCUGGAGGAGAACACAGGUGCACUUAGAACAGGAUCCACACUUACCAGAGGCUUGAUUCAUUUUAGCUGCAAAGAAAACCAGUCCUCGUCUAC
RNAcentral lists this long non-coding RNA (2299 nucleotides) under Homo sapiens (human). RNAcentral's name for it is "HSALNT0235490". Lineage: Eukaryota; Metazoa; Chordata; Mammalia; Primates; Hominidae. The record is from RNAcentral.